This is a long non-coding RNA of Anas platyrhynchos (mallard), 3086 nucleotides long. RefSeq lists it as uncharacterized. The record is from RefSeq and is a predicted model, not a curated record. NCBI's taxonomy places the organism in Eukaryota, Metazoa, Chordata, Aves, Anseriformes, Anatidae.
AGGAUGUUAACAAGGAGGAUGAAAUAGUCCUCCUUUGACUCUUUCAACUUCUUGGUGAGAAGAAAAUGGAGAGAAAAUUUCUUCCUGAAAAGGAAAUGAUGGUUGUGGAAGGACGUACAAGAGGCAGGGGAAGCUUUAAUACCUCCUGGCUUUGGGGAAGCUGAGGGAGCCACAAGGCCUUUAACUUCCAUAAAUAAGGCAAAUGUGGACAAAAACAUGAAGUCUGUGGUGAUGGUGGUGUCACCUGUUGAUUCUAAACACUGAGAAAUUCAGUUGUUUUCAUCACUGAUGACUGAAGGGGCCAAAAAAAAGAACUGGCCUACCACAAGUCUCAGAGAUUCUCCAGACACAGAGGAGGAAACUGGGAGGCAGAAUGGCUGGUGGAAAAUGAAGAGUAUCUGUGGCCUUCAUUUACUUCAGAACUAUUCCAGAAGCUCUACCGGGAGAGGUUUUUGAUAACCAAAAGAGACCGCUGUGACAAUGCACUUUGAAUGCUUGACUGCAGUUCCAAGACCAGUAACAACACUAGUUGAACUAGAGCAUAUAUUUUAGGAAAAACAAACAAACCCAACCUUCUAAUCUUGGUUUCCAGUUUCCAGUGUCAGAAGGCCUCCCACAGCACGGUGACAUUCUCAUGCCAGAGUCCCCUUGUACAGUUUACAUCCCCUCACAUGGCAGAUGAGUCUCAUUUGAAGAUUUAAAUACCCAGAUUCCUCUUUCAUCCACUGUAUCUUGUACAUUUUUUCUCUCCAAAACUGACAAAGCCAGUCAUCAUAUGUGUGUGGCCUGUAUGGGUACUUGAUGUGAAGCAGCUUGGACAGCUGUGUAGCUGUCUGAGUGCCCAGACGUAGGAUUUUACAACCUCUCAUUCAGUUGUCCCAUCAGUGCCCAUUCCAGAGAAGGACUAGCACUUCAGAGACAGUGGUGGAGCUGAUGUUCAUCUGAAUAUCCACAAAGAUCCCCAAGUCCCUUCAGAGAUACCAUUUCCCAGACUCAUAAAUGAAACCUACGUAUUUUGUGCUUAGAUGUCUGACUUUUAAAGUUGAUUGCACCGAAACGUGUCAUUUAGGCUAAAUUUAACAAGAAAUUUAGACUGCUGAUCUAUGUUCUUUUAAGAUAUGUUUGUCUUAGAUUUUACAGCCUGAGCAAGGAGUUCCAAAACAAUCUUUUUGUACAUUUUUGUCACAUGCUGUCCUUCAACCAAUAGUUUAUUAUGGCUGGAGUCAUCCUGAGUUACUGAUGCUAAUUCCAAGCAGGAGUGGAGAUCCUAUUCAAAAGAGAGUUCUCUUCUAUUAGCAUGUUAAUCCAGUGUCUUUGGUCUAGAGACAUGCACAGCACUCUUUGGGUCAUUGAGUUAAAACCCUCAACUACAGCCAGCUCCCUGGUCUACCAAGCUUCUGCUCCAUGUGAUCCUCAAAGCAGCAAACUUCAUCACUGUGUGAAAAACUGGAGAUCUAUAAUACAGGAGGAAUGGAAAUCAUAGCUAAAGAAAAGACCACCUCCAAUAGCUUUGGUCCCUAUGACAACAAAGAAUGUCGUAACAGAACUGAAGCUCCUGGAUGCUCCUGGGAAGUAGUCUAAGCUUCAGCUGGGUGGACCGAUGUUUCAAGCUUCAGUAGCUUUUGCUAUUGAGCAAAAUCAAUUUUCCACUUUUCCUACAAUAUUGGUCCCAGGAAAUAAUGGUCUGUUGGUCUAAUGCUAGUGUGAACACUAAGACUCUUUGACUAUAUCUUGUUCCUCGCCAUCAGUUUAUUCAGUGCUUCAAGGGUAGGGAAAACCACAACCCAGAAACAACUUGUUCAACUGAAAAGUGGAGGGAAAAAAAAAAAAGGUUUCCUGGUCUCCCAAGUAAUCAGUGAAAGUCCAGAAAUAUUGGUUCAGUAUUAUAUAAAUGCAUAAAUGCAUUAAGUAUCUACUACUGUUCAGCACCACCCCCUCCUCCCCCCCCAUGCCCCCUUUGUAACUGGACAUCCAGAGAGCUCUGCUGUAAGUUUAAUUCUCUAUUUCCAGGAGCUGACUCAUUCUGUGCCUUGGUGGGGUUAUCACAUUUCUUCUUAAAACUUUUAAUGUAACUUUUCCUUAAUACCCUGUUUGGAAAACUUACACCAAGACUGAAAUCUCCAGAUGGGUAGGAAGGAACUUUUUAUUAGGCUUAACACUCUCUAAGUUUUUUUUCCUUGAUUAUUCUCCCCAGGCACCAGAGGGUGUCCAGUAUUAUAGCUAACUGUGCCACAUUAUCACUCUGCUCUUCAGGUUACCACUUCAAGACACCACAAAAUCUCUGUUGACAUUCCCUGCAGGGAGGAUAAAAGCUGCACCAGAGCAGCUUGGACCCUCAUAGGUGAAUGGAGGAGUUUUGAGUGAAUGAACCACACACUUGGAGUCAUGUUCACAUUGACACUGCAUGUUGAUACAGGUCUGGUUUAUCAUGUCACAUAGACUAAAUGUAUAGGAGCAGACUCUUGACAUUUAAAUAAGUGACCAAAAAAAAACCCAACUCAUUAUCUCCUGGGUAGUUCUGUACAUGAUUUCAAGUAUCUGGUGCUGCUCUCCCAGCAGCAUGCAGCGUGCUUUGGUUUCAGCAGGGUUGUGGUGGUUGCUGAUCAGGCCAGAGAGCUUAGAGCUUCCAUGUCCCAGCAAGGACUUUUGCAGAAAUCAGGCCCUGGGAAGGAAGAUUUUCUCAGCAGGUGCAGGGUAUUGCUUUCUGUUGGCACAGCAAUUUUGGCUUGGCUAAGAUGUAUAUUUACUUUAUGUAGCUUUGAGUGUAAUAAGAAUGCUAGCAAAAACCACUUGGAAAAGGAAAAAAGGAAAUGUUAAACCUUAACUCUGCAUUCUCAAUUAAAUGAUUACUCCUUCAGGAUGAAAUUGUUCUUGAUUCUUAUUGUAAACCUUUCAAUUUCUUACAUAAAUAGCAUGAUUAUAUUUACAUAAAUAGUUGCACCCUGGAGUACAACAAUCCUAUUGUACACAAAAAUCCUAUUAAAAUUUCCUGAGAGAAGAACUUUCCUGGUUUGAGCAAUGGUCUGUUAUGCAUGAAACCAGAACUUCUCACUCCUUUCUUCAUUCAGAGCCAAAUCAUGUCUUUA